RNAcentral lists this ribosomal RNA (712 nucleotides) under Clostridioides difficile. RNAcentral describes it as "bacterial SSU rRNA". It matches the Rfam family "Bacterial small subunit ribosomal RNA", at positions 407 to 1138 of the family's 1533-position model. Lineage: Bacteria; Bacillati; Bacillota; Clostridia; Peptostreptococcales; Peptostreptococcaceae. The record is from RNAcentral.
GAUGAAGGCCUUCGGGUCGUAAAACUCUGUCCUCAAGGAAGAUAAUGACGGUACUUGAGGAGGAAGCCCCGGCUAACUACGUGCCAGCAGCCGCGGUAAUACGUAGGGGGCUAGCGUUAUCCGGAUUUACUGGGCGUAAAGGGUGCGUAGGCGGUCUUUCAAGUCAGGAGUGAAAGGCUACGGCUCAACCGUAGUAAGCGCUUGAAACGGGGAGACUUGAGUGCAGGAGCGGAGAGUGGAAUUCCUAGUGUAGCGGUGAAAUGCGGAGAUAUUAGGAGGAACACCAGUUGCGAGGGCGGCUCUCUGGACUGUAACUGACGCUGAGGAACGAAAGCGUGGGGCGCAAACAGGAUUAGAUACCCUGGUGGUCCCCGCUGUAAUCGAGGAGUACUAGGGGUCGGGGGUUACCCCCUUCGGUGCCGCAGCUAACGCAUUAAGUACUCCGCCUGGGAAGUACGCUCGCAAGAGUGAAACUCAAAGGAAUUGACGGGGACCCGAACAAGUAGCGGAGCAUGUGGUUAAAUGCGAAGCAACGCUACAAACCUUACCUAAGCUGGACAUCCCAAGUACAUCUCCUUAAUCGGGGAGUGCCCUGCGGAGACAUCGGUGACAGGUGGUGCAUGGUUGUCGUCAGCUCGUGUCGUGAGAUGUUGGGUUAAGUCCCGCAACGAGCGCAACCCUUGUCUUUAGUUGCCAUCAUUAAGUUGGGCAC